This 2312-nucleotide long non-coding RNA is filed under the name Homo sapiens (human). RNAcentral describes it as "HSALNT0055192". Lineage: Eukaryota; Metazoa; Chordata; Mammalia; Primates; Hominidae. The record is from RNAcentral.
CCAAUACCUAUUUCUCCCUCCAGCCUUCACACUCUUGUAGUUUAAGAAUGAGAUAAUCUUGUAGCUGCUGGGAGUUUCCAUGAAGGGGGACUGGCCCAGGAAUGAGGUCAACCAGAGAAAAGUAGAGCCCUGAGAGAGGGACUAGGUCCUGAAGACUUCAUUUAAGACACAGGAUCCAGCCUUGCUUGAUGUCAUUACUCCUAGACUUUCACGUACAAGAGCCAAAAAAUUGUCUUUUCUUCCCCCUUAACCCAGGGCUCCUGCAACCAAAAGAACACUUGACUGUGGCAUCUUUCCAGCCUCCUGUUAGCAGCUAGGUAAGGUGCCCCCAUGGCAAGGAGCUGCGGGCAGCCUCAAGAAACUGGGUGGCCUCUUAGGACCUGAGGGCAGCCUCCAACAAGCAAGCAGCAAACCUCUGGGGCCUUCUGUUCUACAACUGCAAGGAAAUAAAUUCUGCCAACAGCCUGAAUGAGCACGGAAGUGAACUCUUUCUCAGUCGAGCCUCUGAAUGAGAACACAGUUCAACUCAUGCCUUGACUGCAGCUUGUGAGAGUCUGAGAAGAGGACCAGGACUCAUGAUCCUGAAGACAAUGAAGAAGAAAUAUGACAGUCGGUCCCGAGUGUGGAAUGAACACUCUGCUCUCCCAGCUGGGGAACUCCGUGAGGACCCACAUAAGCAAUGCAGAAGCAUUGGGAAACACAUGCAAUAACUGGGGCCAUCUGUUUUCUCCUGAAAACUAGUGGUGGGCUGGAUUCUCUGAAGAGUUUCUCAAGGCAUGUUGGACCAGAACAACCUGCUCAGAGAAGAGGCAAGGUCCCUGCCUGGGCCUCUGAGGUGUUGGAGGUGGGGCCAGCCCACCCCCAGGCCGUGAGGCCUGGCUGCUGGAAGGAGGCAGGACCCAGAAGGUUGCUGCCAUCCUGGGGUGUCUGAGUCCCCAUGUGGCCCAGCUGUGUUCCUGCUGGCCCGGCAUCCACACCCUUGUCUCUGGAUGUGCGGUGGGAGAAUUGUCUUUCUCCACGAACAGGCCAGGUGGUUCCUGGGAUUGACCUCUCUCUCCCAGGUGUGGACAAGCAGAGCAUCCUACGUCCCCAGCUACAGCGACUGGCUGAUAUGGUUUGGCUGUGUCCCCACCCAAAGCUCAUCUUGAAUUCCCACGUGUUGUGGGAGGGACCCAGUGGGAGGUAAUUGAAUCAUGGGGGCAGGUCUUUCCUGUGCUGUUCUCAUGAUAGUGAGUAAAUCUCACAAGAUCUAAUGGUUUUAUAAGGAGGCUGCACAAGCUCUUUCUCUGCCUGCUGCCAACCAUGUAAGAUGUGACUUGCUCCUCCUUUGCCUUCCACCAUGAUUAUGAGGCUUCUCCUGCCACAUGGAACUGUGAGUCCAUUAAAAUCUUUUUCCUGGAUAAAUUACCUAGUCUCGGGUAUGUCUUUAUCAGCAGCGUGAAAACGGACUAAUACGCUGGGCUAGGCUUGGUCAUGUGACCCAGGCCAAUCAAUGAAAUACAGGCUUGGGACUUUUGCAGGGAUAAUUUAGACAGGAAGGCUCUUUUCCCAUUAGGGUGCUAGGCUGGGCUAAUAUGUCAAACCAGCUGGUGGUCUCCCUCUUUAACCACAUGGAGAAAUCCCUUGCAAGUAGAAAAAAAAAAGCAAAGCUAUUAGACAGAGGAGGGUAGAGCUGAAGAUGGGGUGAUAGACAGCCCUGAUGACAUUGUUUGAAUCCCUGGAUCCAGGUGGUCCUGAAGCCUGCCUACCACCCCUGGUCUUUUAGGUAUUUGAACCCAUCACUUCCUUGUUUUGCUUAAACAAACUGUGGUUAGGUUCAGAAUCCUGGUUUAAACACCCGUCCCUGAGUUCUUUCAUAGGUUGCACUUGCUGUCCCAGGGCCUUUACUGUCUAGGUUGGAUGAUAGGUACACAGCCUUUCUCCUGUACUGGGGUGGAAGCCCUGGUGCCUGCUAUAUCUGGGCUUUGAUGCCUGGGUCAGGAUCUUGAAACUUCUCUGCAGGCAUUUCCUUUCAUGGGAAGCCCAGCAACUUGGCUGUUAGACUUGAGGUCAAAUCCUGGUCCUGCCACUGGGCAGGUGACCCUGUCUGCACCCCACUAUCCUCAUCUUUACAUUCUCCUGGGGAUAAUAUCCCCACCUCCCAGGAUGUCGGGGGAAUGAAUGAGAGAUGCUGUGAAGCACCAGGCAAGGUGCUGGUGGAUGUGGGAGCUGUUUCAAUUAUUGUUAUUUGUGCCUCACACACCCAGAGUGAAAGGGAAGCUGUGGGCUGGUCUCACAGGCCAGCCCCUGCAGCCUCUGAGUUUUUUAAUGAA